Molecule: long non-coding RNA, 297 nt
Organism: Dreissena polymorpha
Lineage: Eukaryota; Metazoa; Mollusca; Bivalvia; Myida; Dreissenidae
Exons: 3
Source: RefSeq, a predicted model, not a curated record
CUUUUGAGCCUGGCAGAAUGUGAAAAGACCGGAAAUAAAGGCUCCCUGGACGCCACCAUGUUGUGCGCCGGGGAAACUGGCAAAGACGCUUGCCAGGGUGACUCUGGCGGACCUUUGGUUGCUCCCAGAAGCGGUUCAUGGGAACUCGUUGGUGUGGUGAGCUGGGGAUUCGGGUGCGGCCGUGCCCACUAUCCGGGCGUAUACGCAGACACCUAUUACUUUACAUCGUGGCUCAACAGCACUCUGUAGACGGUCUCGUGUUUUAUUAUCCGGAUGAAUAAACUAGAUAUACGACAG